AGAAGAGAGGAGAAAUAAGUGUUUCAGGCAGCUUUUGAUAGGGUCCUGUGCGAAAUAGUUUAGGAAAGCAACUAAUAGGCUGUCACCCAUGCCAAGGACAGGGAAUUAAAUCAGCCUGCCUGUAUUUUAAGCAUGGCUGUAUUUUGAGGUAAAAGGAAGGCAAUGGCAGAGCUGGAGAAAGCCACAGAGCCUUGGACAAUGGCAGUGUAACAUGUUUUUAUUGUUUUUUACAGAGCGAACAGCACAGAAAGUAACUGCAAAGCAGCAUGCCGCUCUCAAUCAUGGCAGACGUGAUGAGUUGAAAUGGGUGUGAGCGACUUGCAGAUGGUCUACAAGUUGUAAACAACUUCAGCUUACCAGCUGUGGGAAGUUCAAAGAUUAUAUUAAACUAGCAAUAAUAACAUAAUAUUGAAUCAGCUCUGGUAGACAAUCUGAAGAGUGGGACACAAUGGCAAUUAAAAUUAACUUGCAGUUUGGAGUGUUUUACAGUGCCAGAGAUAAGCAGUGCAGCUAGAGCAUAGAGACGGGCGGCUAUUUAAAGAAAUGAUUCAAGUAGUGACGUGUCUCGAUGAUAAAGAUAAGCUGAGGAUCUGCUUCAGUCAUCUGAAUCCCUAGAGUAUCUGGGCUACACAAACAACUACAAGAGGCAGGCCACUAAAGGAAGCAGAGUGCAGGGAGAUUCUCCAUCAACAGACACGGAUUCAAUUGUAUAAAAAGCUUUGCAUCUGCUAAACUACCAGAAAGUUUACCAAGAUCCAAGUUCCUCUUCAAGCUUCAAUUUAGGCCAAUAAUUAAAAAAAGAAACCGCUGUGCUGGUUUACAGACUAGAACUUGGAGGGGAUUCAGGGUACAGUUUGUUCUUGGAACAGGCCGGAUUCUGACUCUGACAUUCGUAAAAUGUUGGGAAGCGGAGCCAAAUGAGCAAUGUCGAGGAACUGUGGUUUUAACCCCUGAAUGAAACUGCACUCUCUGUUUUUUGGACACAUGGAUGUGCACACGUGUGUGUGUUUGCAGGUCCUUCUAGUCUUCAGCAUCAGCUUUCUGUAACAGGCAGUGUUGUAACAUGCAAUCUGUGCAUAAAACACAGUACUCGAUUCAAAGACAUGUAUGUAUGCAAUAUUGAUAGCUGAUCCAUGAGACUGCCCUUCAGGGAUGAGACAAGGAAGCUGAGAGAAUGAAAAGCUGUGUCUUUUCCUGGUUUUGCAUCUCUGACCUGGGUUACCCUAUGACCUCCUGUACACUAAAACUGUUUGACAUCGUUCAGGCUUUUCAACCCACCCCAAUGAAUUCUGGUAUGUUUGACCUGUCUCAGGUACCUUUCACAGCAGGACUACAUUUCCCAGAACUCAUUGGGGUGUGAGUUGAAAAGCCUGAACUGUCCUACUUUUGGUUCCAUUGCCAAGGGUUGCACCACAAUUCUUAUCUUAGUUCUGCCAUGAAAAAGGGACACUCUGUCUUUAUGCCUGUUCUAAAUAUUUGUGUGCACAUUUGCUCCUAUUUUCCAAAGAAGUUUGCUUCGGAAACAGCUUAGCUGUGAUGUGGAGCAGGCUGGGGUUAUACAGUAUUACUGUAUAACAGGGGAAGUUCUAAUGGAACAGAUGUGCUGUACACACCCAACAUGAGCUUCAGUGUGUCUAUCUCCACAGCAUUAUCAACACCUCUUAACAGUGUAGGGGAGUCUCUUACAGUAGGUGUACCUUUAGUGCAAUUACAAGUUUGAUCCUAAUUUAUUAUUUAGAUCAAUUGAUUACAACCUAAUGCCAUUUUGCAAAGGCUACUGUCGUGUUCUGUCUUAGCAGUGAGCAAGGGACAAAUCUGAUGACAGAACGCUGUCAAUGAAAUGGAAAUUGGCUGGUGAGAGAAGGAAAGUAGAAAAGGUACUGUUUUCUAUUUGAAUUGUGUUAUUAAAUAGACUCCAGAGCAGCAAUAUGUGCAAGUAUGACCCACCAAUUUUAAACCAGUAGUCCAGCAUCCAUUUGGUCUUAGCUGCAAUGUUCCACAGCUAGCUAAUGAUUUCAGACCUCCUUGUACUUAGUCGGUUCCCAGCGUCCCAGUGUUGAAUUGUGAAUAUAGUGCAUGCGGAAGUUAGAGAAUGGAUCAUAAAAAUGUCGGGACAAACAAUUGUAGCCUGACUGGGAAUUGCCAGAAACACGUGACCAGUAAGUCAGGGUUUUUAAUUUAAAAAACUAUAACAAGUAUAAAAACAGUAACACACAUGUAUUAGUGGGAGGAGACUAAACUACACCGAGAGCAGCAGCUUCCCAGACUGUGAUAUCAUUACGCCAGGACAACAGUAAAUAAUGGCGAUUUUUUUCAGGUGGAAAAUAAGGAGCCAUAUAUAUAGAAUUUACUGAAAGUACUCAAGAAUUCAAGGAACAAAUGGCCCCAUGAGAAUGAAAGCAUUACCAUCUGGCAGCCCGCAGCGACUCUCAUUGCUGUUCAUGCAGGGUUCAUCUCUCAACCACAAAUCUCACGCAGAGCACCUAACAGUCUUAACGAUGCUUCUGUUAAUGAUCUUAUCUAACUUGUAAUUAUCUCAAUGCUCUUGAAGGAAGCAGCAGAGAGGAAAGUAGUGGAUGUAUUUAGUGCGUUCCUCUCAGACUUCCCUAUUUCAAUUGUUUGGGAGUUGAACAGGCUGCUAUGCGCAUUACCCAGUUCACGGGUUUCUUCCUAUCAGUUCUAGGAUAUGGUCAUGGGUUAUUGCAACACUGUGCUCCGAACCUACUGUAUUUAGCUUCCCUAUAAACGUCUGUCUAGUUACUUUGCUCAGUAAUUUUGCUUUUUGUACCAAAGUUACGCAUGGUUUGGGCAAUCUUUAACAUAGUGUCUGACUUCACUGCACUUCACAAUCCAUAGGACUGAAGGAAAAUUGCACAAGGUUUAUUUAAUCGUAUUUGCGUGGUUACACUCAUUUUAUAAUGAACUUUACUCGCCGAUCGUUCAGUGCCCUACUGAAGUAACACGUUUUAUUUAUUUUCUACAAAGAGGAAGUGCUCAUCGAUUCUCUCAGAAGUCUAAAGCUAGUGCAGUGCACCAACCGUGGCUCUAACUGCCAUCUGGUGGCUUAACCUGGAAUCUGCAACUGUUUGUAACGUCGCAGUUACCGUCCUACUGUGGAACUGUUUCCACAUUGCUGAGUGGCAAUUUGGCAGCCUUUUAAAAGCCUGCAAAGUUUUCUGAUGGCACCUGUUCUCUCUCCAGUCGAUACAGUGGGGUCGAUAACUUUAUUUUGAAACUCAAACUCCUUUUUUUUUUUUUUUUUUUGUUUGUUUGUUUUCUUAUACACAAACCGACCAGCUGAUUUUCA
Polyodon spathula (Mississippi paddlefish) is the source of this 3307-nucleotide long non-coding RNA. RefSeq lists it as uncharacterized. The transcript has 3 exons. Lineage: Eukaryota; Metazoa; Chordata; Actinopteri; Acipenseriformes; Polyodontidae. The record is from RefSeq and is a predicted model, not a curated record.